Molecule: ribosomal RNA, 525 nt
Filed under: uncultured Dothideales
Lineage: Eukaryota; Fungi; Ascomycota; Dothideomycetes; Dothideales
Description: eukaryotic LSU rRNA
Rfam family: 5.8S ribosomal RNA (bases 148-301)
Source: RNAcentral
CCACCCUUUGUUGUUAUAACUACCUCGUUGCUUUGGCGGGACCGUUCGGUCUCGAGCUGCUGGUCUUCGGCCCGGCAAGUGCCCGCCAGAGUCUACUCAAACUCUUGUUUUAACCGGUCGUCUGAGUUAAACUUUUAAUUAAAUUAAAACUUUCAACAACGGAUCUCUUGGUUCUCGCAUCGAUGAAGAACGCAGCGAAAUGCGAUAAGUAAUGUGAAUUGCAGAAUUCAGUGAAUCAUCGAAUCUUUGAACGCACAUUGCGCUCCCUGGUAUUCCGGGGAGCAUGCCUGUUCGAGCGUCAUUACACCACUCAAGCACUGCUUGGUAUUAGGCCAUCGUCCCCCGCAAGGUGGGCGUGCCUCAAACACCUCGGCGGAGCCUCACCGGCUUUGGGCGUAGUAGAAUUUCUCAACGUCUUAUAAGUACCGGUCUGACUCUUUUGCCGCUAAACACCAAACUUUUAAAGGUUGACCUCGGAUCAGGUAGGGAUACCCGCUGAACUUAAGCAUAUCAAUAAGCGGAGGA